GAUGAACGCUGGCGGCGUGCCUAAUACAUGCAAGUCGAGCGAACAGACGUGUUGCUUGCUCCUCUGACGUUAGCGGCUGACGGGUUAGUACCACGUGGAUAACCUACCUAUAAGACUUGGAUAACUUCGGGAAACCGUAUCUCAUACCGGCUAAUCUAUUGAACCGCAUGGUUCAAUAGUGAAAGACGUUUUUUCUGUCCCUUUUAUAUUGUUCCGCGCCGCCUUAGCUAGUUGGUCAGGUAACGGCUUACCAAGGCAACGAUGCGUAGCCGACCUGAGAGGGUGAUCGGCCACACUGGAACUGAGACACGGUCCAGACUCCUACGGGAGGCAGCAGUAGGGAAUCUUCCGCAAUGGGCGAAAGCCUGACGGAGCAACGCCGCGUGAGGGAUGAAGGUCUUCGGAUCGUAAAACUCUGUUAUUAGGGAAGAACAAAUGUGUAAGUAACUAUGCACGUCUUGACGGUACCUAAUCAGAAAGCCACGGCUAACUACGUG
RNAcentral lists this ribosomal RNA (497 nucleotides) under uncultured bacterium. Its description in RNAcentral is "partial 16S ribosomal RNA". It matches the Rfam family "Bacterial small subunit ribosomal RNA", at positions 28 to 507 of the family's 1533-position model. The record is from RNAcentral.